Long non-coding RNA from Papaver somniferum (opium poppy), 344 nucleotides. RefSeq lists it as uncharacterized. The record is from RefSeq and is a predicted model, not a curated record. NCBI's taxonomy places the organism in Eukaryota, Viridiplantae, Streptophyta, Magnoliopsida, Ranunculales, Papaveraceae. The transcript has 4 exons.
ACUGGGAGGUCGCGGUUCUUUUGAAGAUUCCGAUGAUAAUAAUGUUGCGGUAGUGGUAAUAGUAAAAUUGCGGUAAUGAGAGGUCAUGGCCCUUUUGAAGCUUUGCGAUGGUAACAAUGAACUCACACUAGGGAUAGCGAAAUCAGAUUAUACAAGACUGUAUGUGGAUGAGAUAAUGCAGGGAAUUUUUUGAAUGAUAACCCGACUUCCGAUAAGUCAAAGGUGGCGAUGAUUGUCAUCACAUUCGAGAGAGGAUCAUGGUUGGACCUAUGGAUGUUGAGGUCAAGCAAAGAAAAACUGCUAAUCAGAGAAAACAGACUAGGAAACCAACAACAACGAACGCC